Long non-coding RNA from Manis javanica (Malayan pangolin), 525 nucleotides. RefSeq lists it as uncharacterized. The record is from RefSeq and is a predicted model, not a curated record. Lineage: Eukaryota; Metazoa; Chordata; Mammalia; Pholidota; Manidae.
UGGCCGUCUGUUCCCGAAGGUUUCGUAACGCCUCGCUCCCGGGUCCAGCCCCUCCCCGUGCUGCGUCCUUUUUUGAUCCGGCGUCUGAGCCACAGGGUGGUCCGCGGGCGAAGCCGUUGGUUAGCCCCAAAGCAAGACCGGACGGUGAGGGGUUGAUGGGGCCUGAAGAUUCACUCGGAUUGAAGAAACUACUACUUCAGGAAAGCCCCAAAAGGAGAAAAGCCAGUGCUGAGUAAUUUUCCUGGGUGUGUGCCCAUCAUCCCCCGCAAAAUGAGAUUGCUUCCUUUUUCCUCAAAUGCGACAAAAUUACUUAGACACGCAAUUGGAAACUACUGAUGUCACUGAGGAUCGCCAGCACACUCCAGGACUGAGGAAAAAACCCUUCACCUGUACCCAGCAGAGCAUUGAACAAAGAAUUUGAAUGCUGGACAGAUUUUUUAAGGACAGGACUGGUUUGGGGGAAAAAGCUUGGAUAUAUUUUCUAAGGGUUGAAAAAGAAUGAAUUAAAGGGGAAAAGCCACAGGA